Long non-coding RNA from Magallana angulata, 2011 nucleotides. RefSeq lists it as uncharacterized. The transcript is spliced from 2 exons. The record is from RefSeq and is a predicted model, not a curated record. NCBI's taxonomy places the organism in Eukaryota, Metazoa, Mollusca, Bivalvia, Ostreida, Ostreidae.
CAGCAUACAAACUAAAUGUUUCCGGUGAUUAGUUGCAUCCUCUGUUCCGACUUCGGUGAUUCGGGUGAAUGUUUUGACCAGCUGGACGAUGUGAACGCAAGAUAAAUAGAACAGACAUCAUAAAGUACAGCCCAGUGAAAGGAACAAGUUCAUCGCAAAAAGAAGAAUUUUAAUGCUACCAUUGUCCAGAACUACUAAGUCUGCUGUAGCCAUGAUGAGAUCAUAUGAGUGCUUCACCGGUCUGGACAAUGCUCGAAAGUCCCCUAAAAAGGCCUAUUUCAAUAAACUACGACUCGGGUUACAUCAACAACAGCCAAGGACACUCCUUAUUGAUUCGAAUGGACACAUCUCUACGACCCGACUAAACCUCUGCAGAACAAGACUUUUUAACUGGAAAGUAUUCUCAUUUCAAAAAACCUAUAAACUAUAAAAGUACUUUUUUAUAUGAUCAAAUACCAGUAUAUUACAAUGUCUGUCUGUAAGCUAGAAUCUUAGAAAAUCACAUGGUUUUGACUUAUUAAAUGAUUGAUUAGACCUUGCAGAUAUUAACUUUCAUUUUCUUAGAUAAUUUGUUAUAUUUGCAAAUAUUGCAUAAAAUAUUAGACUCCAUGUAACAUAUAUCCUCACACCUCCAAGUUGAUAAGUGUUAACUACUUUUUUUCCAUUUUCUUUGUUUUAACUUAGUUUUUAUUUGCAGCAAUAUAUGAAAAAUUAAGAAACCAAUCUUAAAUGUAAAAACACUGCAUUAGGAGAUGAAUGCAUGGGUCAUAGAAAUGAUAAAAUACACCAAACAAUAUUCAAUUAUGUCGUAUAUGAAAAUAUAUAAAGACAACAUAUACCCCAUGUAUUACAAUUUUUAUAUUACAAAAUUACUUGGAUGGAAAGUUGUUUCCAUGUGGGUUUUAUUUUAAUCUGUGUUAUGUAACUAAUAUAUAAUUGGAAUUAGCUUUUAUAUCAUAAGUAAAAUGCUGGUAUUGAUGAGAAUUGUAUGGUGAAUGAUCUGUGUGAUACUUUGUAUUUUAUACAUUCAUGCUACAAAAAGCAAGUACAUGUACAUGUAGUAAUACUUGUCAUAUAUAAACAAUGUAUAUUUUACUUCAUGUCUUGGAUUUAAAAAUAUUAAUGUAGGUAAAGUAGUGAAAUGUAGGAAGGUAAACCGUGUGUAAAGAAGAAUAUUCAUCAGGAAUGAAGUGUGUUGCAAUCAGCAUAAUUAAUUAAAUGUGUACAUCAUAUUUUUGCACAUGAUUUGACAGACUGCUCCAUUGUUAGCUUUUUAUUGGCCAACAAGCUUUUCAUAUCUCCCUCUGGGUCAUCUAUUAAAUACUGACAGGCUUAUGAUAUUAAAAUCUGAUCAGUUGGUACAUCAUGGGUGGAAAUGAAAAGUUCACUUUGGACUUAAUGGAUUAUCAAAAAAAUGAUAUCAAAUCCUGUUCUAUUGUAAAACAUUAGAUUAUAUUACUAACAAAGAAAAGGUUUAUCCCAACUUGUAAGUGGGUCACUUUGACCUCAUUUUGGAAUUUAUUGACGUAUUCAAAUCAAAUAUGGGUCAUACCUCUAUAGUCAACUACUAUCUUGUAGUGUUUUUUUUGUUUUUUUAAAAGAUGGAUACUUUAGACUUUUCAAAAAUAUUUUAUGGUGUACAUAUUCAUUGUAGUUCAAAACAAAUUGAGACAAGUGUAUCAUGUUCAUGUAACAGUGAAGUUUUCUUUGUUUAUUCAUGUACGUGCAGUUAUUUUGUAAAUUGCAUUCAUAUUUUUAAAAAAGUAAGAUCUUUGUUGCAUUUUUAAAGGGAGAUUUGAUAGGCAUUUAAUCGAGAUGAAAAAAAUACAAAUGUAAAGAUUUCUAUGGGAGUUUUUUUUCUUGUGCAAUUUUAUCAUUUUUUUAAAUAAAAGUCCCUAAUAAGGGAAUUGCCAUAUGGAUGUUUCUCCAUUAUUGUAUCUUGGCUGUAUUUUAUUUAUUAUUGGAAACAAUUUCAGAUUUUUGAACAAAAUAAAUUUGGAACUGUUUGAAA